This 398-nucleotide ribosomal RNA is filed under the name Ctenopharyngodon idella (grass carp). Its description in RNAcentral is "partial 12S ribosomal RNA". Lineage: Eukaryota; Metazoa; Chordata; Actinopteri; Cypriniformes; Xenocyprididae. The record is from RNAcentral.
CAAAGGCAUGGUCCUGACCUUAUUAUCAGCUCUUACCCAACUUACACAUGCAAGUCUCCGCAAUCCCGUGAGUAUGCCCUCAAUCCCCCGCCCGGGGACGAGGAGCGGGCAUCAGGCACAAAUUUUAGCCCAAGACGCCUGGCCAAGCCACACCCCCAAGGGAAUUCAGCAGUGAUAAACAUUAAGCCAUAAGUGAAAACUUGACUCAGUCAGGGUUAAGAGGGCCGGUAAAACUCGUGCCAGCCACCGCGGUUAAACGAGAGGCCCCAGUUGAUAACACCACGGCGUAAAGGGUGGUUAAGGAAAGCAAAACAAUAAAGCCAAAUGGCCCUUUGGCCGUCAUACGCUUCUAGGUGUCCGAAGCCCGAUCAUACGAAAGUAGCUUAACAAAGCCCACC